UCUCCGUUGGUGAACCAGCGGAGGGAUCAUUACUGGAAUCGCAAGAUCCCACAACCCUGUGAACCUACCGAAACGUUGCCUCGGCGGGUGCCCGGCCCCCGCGCCGGGCGCUGCGCCCGCCGGCGGCCCCCUACUCUGUCCCUGCAGCGUGGCAUCUCAGAGUCCCAGAAAACAAGUCAAAACUUUCAACAACGGAUCUCUUGGCUCUA
RNAcentral lists this unclassified non-coding RNA (209 nucleotides) under plant metagenome. Its description in RNAcentral is "partial contains small subunit ribosomal RNA, internal transcribed spacer 1, and 5.8S ribosomal RNA". The record is from RNAcentral.